Molecule: transfer RNA, 67 nt
Filed under: Alcedoecus sp.
Lineage: Eukaryota; Metazoa; Arthropoda; Insecta; Psocodea; Philopteridae
Description: tRNA-Ser
Source: RNAcentral
GGUUUAUUAGUCUAUAGAAGACUCUUACUUUGAAAGUAAGAGAAAAGAUUGAUUGUCUUGUAAGCUG